Oncorhynchus tshawytscha (Chinook salmon) is the source of this 617-nucleotide long non-coding RNA. NCBI's taxonomy places the organism in Eukaryota, Metazoa, Chordata, Actinopteri, Salmoniformes, Salmonidae. The record is from Ensembl.
UCCAUCUAUGGUGAAAGGUGACAGAUAGUGGUGUUUGUCAGACCAGGAGAGAUUCCAUCUAUGGUGAAAGGUGACAGAUAGUGGUGUUUGUCAGACCAGGAGAGAUUCCAUCUACGGUGAAAGGUGACAGCUAGAGCGGUGUUUGUCAGACCAGGAGAGAUUCCAUCUACGGUGAAAGGUGACAGCUAGAGCGGUGUUUGUCAGGCCAGGAGAGAUUCCAUCUACGGUGACAGGUGACAGCUAGAGCGGUGUUUGUCAGACCAGGAGAGAUUCCAUCUACGGUGAAAGGUGACAGCUAGAGCGGUGUUUGUCAGACCAGGAGAGAUUCCAUCUACGGUGAAAGGUGACAGCUAGAGCGGUGUUUGUCAGGCCAUGAGACAACACAAAAAUCUGUCUUCUCACAAAAUUGCCUUUAGCAUCCGAACGGUUUUGCUCUGACUCCCACAAGCAUCUUGGGACUCAUCUGAAUUCGGUAGAGCUGAUCUGCCAACUACUGUCUCUCCGAACAGUUUGGACCCCUCCUGGAAAGGUGAGAUUCAAGACUCGUCUGAAGGUCCCCCGGCACCAGUUGAAAAAAUGUAUGGAAGUGUAUAUGGAGUCUGUUUCGUGCCAAAAAU